AUUGAACGCUGGCGGCAUGCCUAACACAUGCAAGUCGAACGGAAACGAUGGGAGCUUGCUCCCAGGCGUCGAGUGGCGGACGGGUGAGUAAUACUUAGGAAUCUGCCCAGUAGUGGGGGACAACACGGGGAAACUCGUGCUAAUACCGCAUACGUCCUACGGGAGAAAGUGGGGGAUCUUCGGACCUCACGCUAUUGGAUGAGCCCAAGUCGGAUUAGCUUGUUGGUGGGGUAAAAGCCUACCAAGGCGACGAUCCGUAGCUGGUCUGAGAGGACGAUCAGCCACACUGGGACUGAGACACGGCCCAGACUCCUACGGGAGGCAGCAGUGGGGAAUAUUGGACAAUGGGGGCAACCCUGAUCCAGCAAUGCCGCGUGUGUGAAGAAGGCCUGCGGGUUGUAAAGCACUUUCAGUAGGGAAGAAAAGCUCAGGGUUAAUACCCCUGAGUCUUGACGUAACCUACAGAAGAAGCACCGGCUAACUCCGUG
RNAcentral lists this ribosomal RNA (488 nucleotides) under uncultured bacterium. RNAcentral describes it as "bacterial SSU rRNA". It matches the Rfam family "Bacterial small subunit ribosomal RNA", at positions 30 to 507 of the family's 1533-position model. The record is from RNAcentral.